AGCAAGUGUGUCCCAGUUAAUAUCCCUAAAGAAAGGGUGCUGUUUCACCUCUGAGGCUCCUCCGGCUCCAAGCCUCUGGUUGGGAUCUUCUCUAAGUAACCGGUCAAUCAGAUCAAAUGCCUCGGGACUCAUUUCCUCAGGAACUCCGGGCCAAGGUAUAUUACGAUUGAGAAUAUUGUCAAAUAUUUUCUGAGGAUGCUCCGCAUUGAAAGGUGGCAUGCCAACAAUCAACUCAAAGAGGAUAACACCCACAGACCACCAAUCA
Molecule: unclassified non-coding RNA, 265 nt
Filed under: Hevea brasiliensis (rubber tree)
Lineage: Eukaryota; Viridiplantae; Streptophyta; Magnoliopsida; Malpighiales; Euphorbiaceae
Source: RNAcentral